CGCGGGGUGGAGCAGCCUGGUAGCUCGUCGGGCUCAUAACCCGAAGGUCGGAGGUUCAAAUCCUCCCCCCGCUA
RNAcentral lists this transfer RNA (74 nucleotides) under Planctomycetota bacterium. RNAcentral describes it as "tRNA-Met". It matches the Rfam family "tRNA". From Rfam's summary of the family: Transfer RNA (tRNA) molecules are approximately 80 nucleotides in length. The record is from RNAcentral. Lineage: Bacteria; Pseudomonadati; Planctomycetota. RNAcentral also lists the same sequence under 2 other names.